Molecule: long non-coding RNA, 311 nt
Filed under: Homo sapiens (human)
Lineage: Eukaryota; Metazoa; Chordata; Mammalia; Primates; Hominidae
Description: HSALNT0204354
Source: RNAcentral
GAAUUAGGCAGGAAGCAUUCAUGAUGCCAGCAAUUUAAGGUGUUUUGCAGCCCAUUAUGUUUCUGGUUCUCUCAAGAACCUAAGCAUGGAUCAAAUGACAUUUCUGUUGCCCAGUUGUCUGGAAAAAGUCUCAUCACAGCUUCAGUGCCUGUAUCAGAUAACAUCUUAGGAAGUCUCAUCCAGGCUACCCUUCCUCCAGACACACUGGAUAUGAUCUUAAUUGCUAGAAUAUUAAGAGAAGAUAAUAAGAUAAGAAGGGAAGCAGCAACCAUAUGAUGUGAUAAUUGUGAGUCUGGGACCUGGAAGCUUUA